AAAAGAAGCGGACGCCGCCAAAAUGUUGAAUUCUUCACCACCACCUGACACCCUUUAGAGUUGUCCUCAAAUGUUAACACACAAGUGUUGAGACACAAUGACCACAACAUGCAACUCAUUCACCAACCUACUACAUGAACAGUUCCUGCUUUACACUCAAAUUACCGUUCUAAAACACACCUUUUUUAAAUCCAUUCCCGGCUUUUGACACAAUUUUCAUGCAGAAAGUAUCUUAUUUUACAAGGAACACACUGCCAUUCAAAUAUGACUCAUCAAACAGCUGUCACAGUUUCAGGAUUGGCACUCAGAGCGUUAGCAUGAAAGGGCAACAGGUGUGCGGUUCCGUUUUGGACCAAUGGAAGCCAACAUUGGGAACGGAGGCAGAGCCAGACGAGUGAGAGGAGGAGGAGGAGGAGCAGGACGAGGAAGGCCAAGGACCCUGAUCUCUGAUGAGAUCUGACACACUUUGGUUGAUCAUGUGGUCAACCGUGGUCUAACAAUGAGGGGGGCUGGGCAAAGAGUACAGCCACAUUAGAGCAGGGACACUGUAGCAUCCAUCAUCCGGACUAUCCGGAAUGAGAAAAAGUAAGAAAUCUACUCUCACUAUAGAAAAUUGGAGUACAGCCUAUUACUACAGUACCCCGUAUUUUGAAUACAAGGAUGUAGAUGGAGAUUGAUGAUCCACUGCUGUUAUUAUUAUUAUUAAAAGAUUUGUUUUUUUGUGAUGAUCAGAGUUUUUAUUUCUUUUUAAAAUCGGACCAAAAUGAAGCAUCCCUGGCAUCCCCCACCCCUUCCCACCGGGCCGCGGUAAAAUCCCCAGGGGUUGACCGUCCCGCAGCCACAUUAAGAAAGGUGGCUGCAGAGGAGCACCGGUUCAUCCUCAUUGAUGAGGUUGGGUUCAGCGUCACAAAAAGACGAAAGAGGGGAAGGAAUGUCAUCGGCCCGUGUUCAGCUGGUUCUUCUAAAUGUCUGUUCAUAUAACUUAAACAACUAAACUUUUUCUUUUAUAUAUAAAUGAUAUUUGUGAUAUUUCUAAGUUGUUACAGUUUGUUUUAUUUGCUGAUGAUACUAACUUUUUAAUAUUCUGGGGAUAAUCUGAAAACCUUAACUAAAAGUAUUGAAAUGGAAAUGAUAAAACUCAAAAUGUGGUUUGACUACAAUAAACUGUCUUUGAAUCUAACAAAAACAAAGUUUAUGGUAUUUGGUAAUAAAAACAAAACAGAAGUCACUUUGUCCAUUGACAACGUAAACAUAGAACAGGUGUCUGAAUUUAAAUUUUUAGGGGUUAUGUUGGACGACAAAUUAACAUGGAAAUCUCAUAUAUUUUAUGUAAAAAAUAAAGUAGCCAAGAGCCUUUUUGUUCUGAACAAAUCUAAAUAUGUUUUACCAUGUCAUAUUAUGCACAUGUUAUAUUGCUCUUUGGUUUUACCUUAUUUUACAUAUUGUAUUGAAUUGUGGGGAAAUACAUAUGAAACUAAUAUAAUGCCCUUAAUUCUACUACAGAAGAGAGCUAUUCGAAUUAUUCACAAAGCUAAUUUUAGAGAUCAAACAAAUGAACUUUUUAUUAAGUCAGGCUUAUUAAAACUUAAAAAUUUAAUUGAAUUGCAGACCUUAUUAGUUAUGUUUAAAGCCAGAAACAGAGAUUUGCCAGAAGACCUACAAAAGCUUUUUAUUUUUACCACAGGAGAAGAAAAUCAUAGGAGAAAAUUUGAUUUCAAACAACAGAUUGCUCGAACAACAUUAAAGCAAAAGUGUUUGUCUAUAGCAGGGGUAAAAAUGUGGAAUUCCCAGGAGAAUCAGUUAAAAAGUUGUCAAAAUAUGAUUUAAUUUAAACGGAUGUAUAAAGCCAAACAAAUUAGUUUGUACAAACUUGACUGUUGAAUGGAAUGUUUGGAAUGUAUGUAUUAAAUGAAUGGAAU
Non-coding RNA from Oryzias latipes (Japanese medaka), 1919 nucleotides. Lineage: Eukaryota; Metazoa; Chordata; Actinopteri; Beloniformes; Adrianichthyidae. The record is from RefSeq and is a predicted model, not a curated record.